Molecule: ribosomal RNA, 468 nt
Filed under: uncultured bacterium
Lineage: Bacteria
Description: partial 16S ribosomal RNA
Rfam family: Bacterial small subunit ribosomal RNA
Source: RNAcentral
GACGAACGCUGGCGGCGGGCCUAACACAUGCAAGUCGAACGGAAAGGCCCUGCUUUUGUGGGGUGCUCGAGUGGCGAACGGGUGAGUAACACGUGAGUCACCUGCCCUUGACUUUGUGAUAACUUCAGGAAACUGAGGCUAAUACAGGAUAGGAGCACCUGCUGCAUGGUGGGGGUUGGAAAGUUACGGAGGCUGGGUAUGUACUCGCGGAUUAUCAGCUUGUUGGUGGGCUAGUGGCUAACCAAUGAUUUGACGGAUAGCCGGCCUGAUAGGGUGACCGGCCACAUUAGGACUGCGAUACGACGCAGACACGAACAGGAGCCAGAAGUGCGGAAACUUGCAAAAUGGGAGAAAGCCUGAUGCAGGAACGCCGUGUGGGUGAUGACGGCCUUGGGGUUGUAAACCGCUUUCGCCUGUGACGGAGCGUGAGUGACGGUAAUGAGAAAAGAAGCACCGGCUAACUACGUG